ACUCAAAGGAAUUGACGGGGGCCCGCACAAGCGGUGGAGUAUGUGGCUUAAUUCGAUGCAACGCGAAGAACCUUACCUGGGCUUGACAUGCAUUUCUAAGGCGGUGAAAGCCGCCGAGGGUAGCAAUACCCAACUUGCACAGGUGCUGCAUGGCUGUCGUCAGCUCGUGUCGUGAGAUGUUGGGUUAAGUCCCGCAACGAGCGCAACCCUCGUGCACUGUUACCGAUGCAAAUCGGCACUCUGCGCAGACUGCCCCGUGAAACGGGGAGGAAGGCGAGGAUGACGUCAAGUCAGCAUGGCCCUUACGCCCAGGGCUGCACACGUACUACAAUGCCCAGCACAAAACGAACCGGCCCCGCGAGGUGCCGGAAACCAAAAAAGCUGGGUUCAGUUCGGAUUGCAGGCUGCAACUCGCCUGCAUGAAGCUGGAAUCGCUAGUAAUGCCGUAUCAGCUACGACGGCGUGAAUACGUUCCCGGGCCUUGUACACACCGCCCGU
Molecule: ribosomal RNA, 498 nt
Filed under: uncultured bacterium
Lineage: Bacteria
Description: partial 16S ribosomal RNA
Rfam family: Bacterial small subunit ribosomal RNA
Source: RNAcentral